Suricata suricatta (meerkat) is the source of this 254-nucleotide long non-coding RNA. RefSeq lists it as uncharacterized. NCBI's taxonomy places the organism in Eukaryota, Metazoa, Chordata, Mammalia, Carnivora, Herpestidae. The transcript has 3 exons. The record is from RefSeq and is a predicted model, not a curated record.
AGCAGGUGAAUCGGUGAUGAGGAAAUUCUGAACAAAAGGUCCUGGCAGUUUUAUGGACUCUAGGGCAUUCCUUGCACUGUUAAGAAGGUUGACACACAACACCGUACAUGAUGUAAUCAAAUUCUCCCUUCAAAGACAAGUUGCUUUCCACCCAGGUCAUCACUCUGAUAACGGAGUACAGAUGCAGCGUGAGUGAUACAAACCACACCGAACUGGAGAAAAACGAAGAACUGGGAGGCAGCAAGACUUCUGGC